Molecule: ribosomal RNA, 397 nt
Filed under: uncultured bacterium
Lineage: Bacteria
Description: partial 16S ribosomal RNA
Rfam family: Bacterial small subunit ribosomal RNA
Source: RNAcentral
AUACGUAGGGGGCGAGCGUUGUCCGGAAUGAUUGGGCGUAAAGGGCGCGUAGGCGGCCUGUUAAGUCUGGAGUGAAAGUCCUGUUUUCAAGAUGGGAAUUGCUUUGGAUACUGAUGGGCUUGAGUGCAGGAGAGGUUAACGGAAUUCCCGGUGUAGCGGUGAAAUGCGUAGAGAUCGGGAGGAACACCAGUGGCGAAGGCGGGUAACUGGACUGCAACUGACGCUGAGGCGCGAAAGUGUGGGGAGCAAACAGGAUUAGAUACCCUGGUAGUCCACACUGUAAACGAUGAAUGCUAGGUGUAGGGGGUAUCGACCCCUUCUGUGCCGCAGUCAACACAAUAAGCAUUCCGCCUGGGGAGUACGGCCGCAAGGUUGAAACUCAAAGGAAUUGACGGGG